Molecule: unclassified non-coding RNA, 218 nt
Filed under: Hevea brasiliensis (rubber tree)
Lineage: Eukaryota; Viridiplantae; Streptophyta; Magnoliopsida; Malpighiales; Euphorbiaceae
Source: RNAcentral
CAGCACCAGCCACAGAUGCAUUAGUACCAUUUUGCUGAAAAUUUCUACAAACUGGAGGUGGAACCACUCCUGACAACUGUGAUGCCAUUGGUGAGGGAGUGUUGUAGAAUGACAUGUUAGUAGAAACCCCACCUAAAUUCUGGAUAGCAGCUGCUCCAUUAUAAUUUCCAGAAAUUUCUCGAAGAUUAUUGCUGUGUGUAUGUUUUGAUUGCCUAGGG